This 455-nucleotide ribosomal RNA is filed under the name Neisseria elongata. RNAcentral's name for it is "bacterial SSU rRNA". It matches the Rfam family "Bacterial small subunit ribosomal RNA", at positions 30 to 472 of the family's 1533-position model. Lineage: Bacteria; Pseudomonadati; Pseudomonadota; Betaproteobacteria; Neisseriales; Neisseriaceae. The record is from RNAcentral.
AUUGAACGCUGGCGGCAUGCUUUACACAUGCAAGUCGAACGGCAGCGGGGUAGUGCUUGCACUACUGCCGGCGAGUGGCGAACGGGUGAGUAAUAUAUUGGAACGUACCGAGUAAUGGGGGAUAACCAAUCGAAAGAUUGGCUAAUACCGCAUACGCUCUGAGGAGGAAAGCAGGGGACCUUCGGGCCUUGCGUUAUUCGAGCGGCCAAUAUCUGAUUAGCUAGUUGGUGGGGUAAAGGCCUACCAAGGCGACGAUCAGUAGCGGGUCUGAGAGGAUGAUCCGCCACACUGGGACUGAGACACGGCCCAGACUCCUACGGGAGGCAGCAGUGGGGAAUUUUGGACAAUGGGCGCAAGCCUGAUCCAGCCAUGCCGCGUGUCUGAAGAAGGCCUUCGGGUUGUAAAGGACUUUUGUUAGGGAAGAAAAAGGAGCGGUUAAUACCCGUUUCUGCUGA